AAAAAACCACGGGACCAACACGCGAUAACAAUCCACUAAGAAUAAAAGAUUACAAGGUGAUUUACCGAUUCCACGGACUCAAACCUCUCUUUUAUCUUCUCCGGAUCUCGCGCACACCAACAGGUUGUCCACGCCCCACAUCUGAAUCCACGAACGUCACGUCCCGAAUCCACGAAACGUCCACACUUCGAAUCCACGAAGCCUUGAUCACGCCGAAUCCACGACGCCCACUCGAAUCCACGAGCACACUCCGUC
RNAcentral lists this long non-coding RNA (255 nucleotides) under Ananas comosus (pineapple). Its description in RNAcentral is "long non-coding RNA (ACOM_LNC009166)". The record is from RNAcentral. Lineage: Eukaryota; Viridiplantae; Streptophyta; Magnoliopsida; Poales; Bromeliaceae.